UGGGGAAUUUUGGACAAUGGGGGCAACCCUGAUCCAGCCAUGCCGCGUGCGGGAAGAAGGCCUUCGGGUUGUAAACCGCUUUUAUUCGGGAAGAAGGAGUGGGGGUUAAUACCUCUCAUGACGGACGGUACUGGAUGAAUAAGCACCGGCUAACUACGUGCCAGCAGCCGCGGUAAUACGUAGGGUGCGAGCGUUAAUCGGAAUUACUGGGCGUAAAGCGUGCGCAGGCGGUUCUGAAAGUCAGCUGUGAAAGCCCCGGGCUUAACCUGGGAACUGCGGUUGAAACUAGAGGACUAGAAUCUGGCAGAGGGGGGUGGAAUUCCACGUGUAGCAGUGAAAUGCGUAGAGAUGUGGAGGAACACCGAUGGCGAAGGCAGCCCCCUGGGCUGAGAUUGACGCUCAGGCACGAAAGCGUGGGGAGCAAACAGGAUUAGAUACCCGGGUAGUCC
This 449-nucleotide ribosomal RNA is filed under the name uncultured bacterium. RNAcentral describes it as "bacterial SSU rRNA". It matches the Rfam family "Bacterial small subunit ribosomal RNA", at positions 355 to 796 of the family's 1533-position model. The record is from RNAcentral.